UACAGAGGUCCCAAGCGUUACUGAGAAUCACUGGGUUUAAAGGGUGCGUAGGUGGCGCGUUAAGUCCGUUGUGAAAUCCCUGGGCUCAACCCAGGAACUGCUUCGGAUACUGGCGUGCUUGAGGCCGGUAGAGGUCACUGGAACAGACGGUGGAGCGGUGAAAUGCGUAGAUAUCGUCUGGAACGCCGGUGGUGAAGACGGGUGACUGGGCCGGUUCUGACACUGAGGCACGAAAGCGUGGGGAG
Molecule: ribosomal RNA, 245 nt
Filed under: uncultured bacterium
Lineage: Bacteria
Description: partial 16S ribosomal RNA
Rfam family: Bacterial small subunit ribosomal RNA
Source: RNAcentral